This is an unclassified non-coding RNA of Chelonoidis abingdonii (Abingdon island giant tortoise), 181 nucleotides long. The record is from Ensembl. NCBI's taxonomy places the organism in Eukaryota, Metazoa, Chordata, Testudines, Testudinidae.
GUACCAACACUGAAAAGUGAAACCCUCUGUUUAUCCGCUGAACAAGUGUAGAAGAAUGGUAAGAGGUAGAUCUCGUUUCUUCAUGCUGCUCUGCCAAUGUGUCUUAUUACUGUUUUGAACAGAUGACCCUGAUGGGUGAGAAGGUAAUUCAGUCCCCAUGCUCAUUUGAUCCUUGGCCUUU